Non-coding RNA from Plodia interpunctella (Indianmeal moth), 83 nucleotides. Lineage: Eukaryota; Metazoa; Arthropoda; Insecta; Lepidoptera; Pyralidae. The record is from the annotation of a RefSeq genome assembly.
GCUGAGGUGUCCGAGUGGUUAAGGAGUUGGACUUGAAAUCCAAUGGGUUCUGCCCGCGCAGGUUUCGAAUCCUGUCCUCAGCG